GACGUAGGGGGCGAGCGUUGUCCGGAUUUAUUGGGCGUAAAGAGCGCGUAGGCGGCCCGGCAAGUCGGAUGUGAAAACCCGGGGCUCAACCCCGGGCCUGCAUCCGAUACUCCCGGGCUGGAGGCAGGUAGGGGAGAUCGGAAUUCCUGGUGUAGCGGUGAAAUGCGCAGAUAUCAGGAGGAACACCGGUGGCGAAGGCGGAUCUCUGGGCCUGUCCUGACGCUGAGGCGCGAAAGCUAGGGGAGCGAACAGG
This 253-nucleotide ribosomal RNA is filed under the name uncultured bacterium. RNAcentral describes it as "partial 16S ribosomal RNA". It matches the Rfam family "Bacterial small subunit ribosomal RNA", at positions 524 to 776 of the family's 1533-position model. The record is from RNAcentral.